GGAAUAUUGGUCAAUGGGCGCUAGCCUGAACCAGCCAAGUAGCGUGAAGGAUGACUGCCCUAUGGGUUGUAAACUUCUUUUAUAUGGGAAUAAAGUGCAGUAUGUAUACUGCUUUGCAUGUACCUUAUGAAUAAGGAUCGGCUAACUCCGUGCCAGCAGCCGCGGUAAUACGGAGGAUCCGAGCGUUAUCCGGAUUUAUUGGGUUUAAAGGGUGCGUAGGCGGGCUUUUAAGUCAGCGGUAAAAAUUCGGGGCUCAACCCCGUCCGGCCGUUGAAACUGGGGGCCUUGAGUGGGCGAGAAGAAGGCGGAAUGCGUGGUGUAGCGGUGAAAUGCAUAGAUAUCACGCAGAACUCCGAUUGCGAAGGCAGCAUACCGACGCCCUACUGACGCUGAGGCACGAAAGCGUGGGUAUCGAACAG
Molecule: ribosomal RNA, 419 nt
Filed under: uncultured bacterium
Lineage: Bacteria
Description: bacterial SSU rRNA
Rfam family: Bacterial small subunit ribosomal RNA
Source: RNAcentral